AUGACAUAUGGGAUACAAAACAUUGUUAUCUCGUGUGCUUUCGUGGAUAGUCAUCCAGAAAGUAGAUUAAUCAUAACUAUCCGUAUUGUUGAUGUUGCCACAAAAGCUGGUGGUAUCUACCACAUGCAACCACUUUCUGAUGAUUACUCCAAAAUGUUAUUCUAUACAAGAACAUCUGGUAUUGAAGGACCUGCUGAAGUGAUUACCAAAAUUUUAAAGAAAUGUGGUGGUGUGCCCUUAGCUAUCACUACAAUAGCUAGCUUGCUUGUUGGUAAACACAGUGAGGACUGGUCUAAGGUAUAUGAUGCCAUUCGUUUUGGGCAUGAAGAGAAUGACGAUGUUCAUAACACAAGAAAGAUAUUAUCUUUUAGCUAUUAUGAUUUGUCGUCCAAUCUGAAGACAUGUUUAUUGUAUCUUAGUGUGUUUCCUGAAGAUUAUUUAAUUGAUAAAAUAUCACUGAUAUGGAGGUGGGUUGCCGAGGGAUUUAUACCAUAUAGAGAAGGGAUGGAGUCAUUUGAACUUGGAGAGAUCUAUUUCAACACGCUUGUAAACAAGAGCAUGAUACGGUGGACAGAUCCUGAAGAUAAUGAUGGCCGAGGUGGUUGUCGUGUCCAUGACAUGGUGCUCGAUCUCAUCCGCACCAUAUCAAAUGAUGUAAAUUUUGUUACAAUACAUGAUAUGGAGCAGCAUGGCACAUGUUCACGAGAAAAACGAACCAACUGGGUUCGCAGAUUAGCAGUUCAUGGAAGUGUGGAACACAACUCUAGCAUUGCAAUGGAGCAUGUAAGGUCAUUUAAUGUUGUUAACUGCAAUGCCAACAGUAUGCCACUGCUUUUGAGCUUUAAAGUACUACGUGUGCUAGUUAUUGAGGACUGUGCUUUUUCGGAAGGUAGUAGUCUUGAGCAUCUCGGUAUGUUGGUGCAGUUGAGGUACCUGGGACUAGUGAAGACAGCGGUCAAGAUCCCGGAAGGAAUAGGGCAUGAUCUGAAGUUUCUUGAGAUACUGGAUGUAAGGGGAGGUUUGAUAAGUGAGCUGCCGGCAUCUGUUGGUGAGCUAAUGAAUUUGAGGUGCUUGUGGGCUGACGAAGGUACAGUGAUGAAGGGUGAGAUAGGGAAACUGACAUGCCUUGAAGAGCUGCAGCUAUAUUCGGUGGACAAGUGCCCAGACUUCUUCACAGAGGUGGGGAAGCUGACAAAGCUAAGGGUGCUCAAGAUCUAUUUCGCUGAAAUAGAGGAGUCUGCAGGCGAGGCUCUGAUGGAAUCUCUAUGCAAACUGCACAAGAUCCAUUGUCUGAGGAUCUUGGAUGAUGGUGGUGAGGGUAAGUAUGCGGUUGUCAAUCAUAGCUUGGAAGACUUGUCACUCUGUACAAAGCUGUACGAGCUAAUUCUGCCUAGCAUAGUUAUACCGAGGGUGUCAUCAUGGAUCAAUCAGUUAACUGUUCCACUCCUUUCUCGUCUAUGUCUGCAUGUGGCUGCGGUAGAAGUUGGGGAUGUUCAAACCAUCGGCAGGUUGCCAUCUCUCCUCUUCCUUGGUCUCUGGAGUAAGGAUGAAAAGAACAUAUCAUAUACUUUUGGCAGCAAUGAGUUUCACAAGCUAAGAGUCUUGUGGACGAAGAAGAUAGAGAUUGCUGUUGGAGAAGGAGCAUUGCCGAUGCUUGAAUCGCUGAUAUACAGUGUAAGCGCUGAAAGAAAGGACGCUGCCAGAUUGGUGGCGUGGGGGAGAAAUAGCUGCCCUUUGCUGAAGGAAGUCACCUGUUCCCUUGACUGCACGAACAGCAGCUACAGGGAAGUAAAGGAAGCGAAGCAAGCGCUGAAGCAGGCUUCCGGCACCGGUCCCAAUGCUGUGUAUCUCGAUCUCGACAUAGAAGAAGAAAACUACGAUGAGGAGGCAGGUAGAUUCAUUGAUAAUCUCGAGUGGAUCCUACGUGGUUUGGACAGACCCAAGGAUGUGGGCCGUCCUGCAGUACACCAGGAAGAAAGGACGCGUCGCAUGAUUAGAUCACUCGAGAGAAGGUUACGUGACGCCGCGGAGCCUCGGGUCAGGAGGUACGGCCAACAAGAGAUACGUGCCCUUGUCACCAAAUUUAAGAGUUGGCUACAAGACCAUGCAGGCACCGACCAGGAUGAGGCGGACAAGAGUCGCGACGAUGACGAUGAAGAUUAUUAUUACGACGACGACGACGAGGAUGACGGUACCGACCAAGCAGAGGCAGACGAUGGUGAAGCAGAAUCCUGUUGCAGUGGGGAUGAGCAGCAGGAGGGGGACAGCCAACCUUGA
RNAcentral lists this ribosomal RNA (2277 nucleotides) under Triticum aestivum (bread wheat). Its description in RNAcentral is "partial small subunit ribosomal RNA". Lineage: Eukaryota; Viridiplantae; Streptophyta; Magnoliopsida; Poales; Poaceae. The record is from RNAcentral.